GCCUCCAUAGCUCAGUUGGAUAGCUCAGUUGGUUAGAACAUGGUACUGAUAAUGCCAAGGUUGCAGGUUCAAUCCCCGUAAUGGGACA
Podarcis lilfordi (Lilford's wall lizard) is the source of this 88-nucleotide non-coding RNA. Lineage: Eukaryota; Metazoa; Chordata; Lepidosauria; Squamata; Lacertidae. The record is from the annotation of a GenBank genome assembly.